Molecule: small RNA, 30 nt
Filed under: Bombyx mori (domestic silkworm)
Lineage: Eukaryota; Metazoa; Arthropoda; Insecta; Lepidoptera; Bombycidae
Description: ovarian small RNA-10650
Source: RNAcentral
AAGGCUGCUAUUACAUGUCAUGCCGACAUC